RNAcentral lists this non-coding RNA (572 nucleotides) under Pongo abelii (Sumatran orangutan). The record is from RNAcentral. Lineage: Eukaryota; Metazoa; Chordata; Mammalia; Primates; Hominidae.
CCUAGCUCCUUCAUGUAUUCAUCAAAGCCUUUGCUGUCCACCAGGCGCCAUCUUCCUUCCAGCUGCUGAACUGUGGCCAUGGGUACGCGACGGCCUCUCGGGCUCCUCCUGCAAGCAGGGACUCGCCUGGCGCGCCCCACGCCUCCUGGACGCCGGCGCCUGCACGUUUCGGCGCUUCUGCAGGCCCAGGAAGCCAGAGGGGUCACCUGGAGGCCCGGCCCCGCCUCUCCUGCACCCCUCCGUUUGACAACAUAUCCACCGCCGUUUUUCCUUUCAAAAUACCCGGACCAAUCGAUUAGCCCUCGCCGGACUUGGACUGCAGGAAGUGAUUGAUCGGCUGAUUGGUUUAUUGAUUCAUUAACUACGGUGCCUCCCUGACCUUCUGCUCCUCGGACAGAGGACAAGCUCACAAUCCACACCCUCCUGAGAGAACCUGCUCUCGCCAUCCGCAGGUCUCCCUGGCCCAAUAGUGGGGACAUACCUGAGUUGAGCUAGAGGAUUUUAUCCCUGUUGGGAUGGGGGACGUCUCGGGAAGUGUGGUUUCUAAACUAAAAGACUGCAGGAAGUGUCAA